ACACUAGGGAGACAAUACAAUCUGGCACCCCACUGAUCGCCAGGGUUGAUUCAGCAGAUCUGGUUGGCUAGGUGGGUGUCCCCUUCCUCCCUGUAGGCUCCAUGUGAGUCCCUCCCGAAGCUGUGUGCUCUGUCAAAGAGGACAACCGCCAGCAGAAGAGACCUUUCCUCGGACAAGGGUACACUUUAAUUUGGGUGUUGGGCAUUUUGUCUCAGCAAUGAGAAAAAAGUAACCAAGAAACCAUCAUACCCAUAUUUACUUUUCUUUAUUUUCAAAAAAUAUUUUAUUAU
This 290-nucleotide small nuclear RNA is filed under the name Chinchilla lanigera (long-tailed chinchilla). Its description in RNAcentral is "7SK RNA (ENSCLAG00000021417.1)". It matches the Rfam family "7SK RNA". Rfam says of the family: 7SK was discovered as an abundant small nuclear RNA in the mid-70s but a possible function has only recently been suggested. Two independent studies have found that 7SK RNA binds the CDK9/cyclin T complex (known as elongation factor P-TEFb). The record is from Rfam by way of RNAcentral. Lineage: Eukaryota; Metazoa; Chordata; Mammalia; Rodentia; Chinchillidae.